This 253-nucleotide ribosomal RNA is filed under the name uncultured bacterium. RNAcentral describes it as "partial 16S ribosomal RNA". It matches the Rfam family "Bacterial small subunit ribosomal RNA", at positions 524 to 776 of the family's 1533-position model. The record is from RNAcentral.
UACGUAGGGUGCAAGCGUUGUCCGGAAUUAUUGGGCGUAAAGCGCUCGUAGGCGGUUUGUUGCGUCGGCUGUGAAAUCCCGAGGCUCAACCUCGGGUCUGCAGUCGAUACGAGCAAACUAGAGUGUUGCAGGGGAGACUGGAAUUCCUGGUGUAGCGGUGAAAUGCGCAGAUAUCAGGAGGAACACCGGUGGCGAAGGCGGGUCUCUGGGCCGAUACUGACGCUGAGGAGCGAAAGCGUGGGGAGCGAACAGG